Long non-coding RNA from Cucumis melo (muskmelon), 726 nucleotides. RefSeq lists it as uncharacterized. The record is from RefSeq and is a predicted model, not a curated record. The transcript has 3 exons. Lineage: Eukaryota; Viridiplantae; Streptophyta; Magnoliopsida; Cucurbitales; Cucurbitaceae.
CUGGUCCUUACCGAGAAAACUUUAUGUUAGCUUUAUACUUGGGGUUAACAAAAAGGAAACUUGUCGUAGUGAUAGAUUUCAGCUCCUAUAACGUAGAUCAAUGUGUAGAUACAAGAGAAUAGAGUUAUCUUUGUACCAUCUCGAUUACAGGUGUGUAGCAGAGUUCCUUUAGUCUCUUGCUAACAUAAUAUGAACGACAACACCCAGCCAAAUAAGUUUCUAUAUCGAGUCUGAGAUCGAGAGAACUUUUCGCGAAUGGCUUGAAACAACCGGAUGUGAAGAGAAAGAAACGAAAACAUGGUAGAUCGAAACAAUCAACAACCGCAGAAUGUAGGCAAUGAUUCUAAUGCCAACUUAAAUGCAAAUGCAAAUUCGAUUCUUCUAGUGCAUGAUCGCAACAGGCUGAUCAGGGAGUAUGUGUCAUCAAAUUUGUAUGAUUUUUCACCGGGUAUAUAUCAUGCGUCUAGAUGUUGAUGGAACUAGAUUUGAGAUAAAGCCAAUGAUGCUGCAGAUGUUGCAAGCUGGAAGGUAGUUUGGAGAAGCUACCGAUGAAGACUCAUAAGCUCACUUGAAAGGCUUCAUGGAGGACUCGUCGGAGAAGGGUUCGGUUUCGUUGUAGCACCAUUGCUUCCCCUUGUGUUCUGGUGAUAUACUUCGAAAGAAAACUGCUGUUUUAUUUGUGUCCACAUUCUGAUCAAUCCAAUUUGACCAGGUUUUCAUGGCUGC